RNAcentral lists this ribosomal RNA (226 nucleotides) under uncultured bacterium. RNAcentral's name for it is "partial 16S ribosomal RNA". It matches the Rfam family "Bacterial small subunit ribosomal RNA", at positions 538 to 763 of the family's 1533-position model. The record is from RNAcentral.
GCGUUGUCCGGAUUUAUUGGGCGUAAAGCGCGUGUAGGCGGCCAGAUAGGUCCGCUGUGAAAACUCGAGGCUCAACCUCGAGCUGUCGGUGGAAACCAUUUGGCUAGAGUCCGGAAGAGGAGAGCGGAAUUCCCGGUGUAGCGGUGAAAUGCGCAGAUAUCGGGAAGAACACCCGUGGCGAAGGCGGCUCUCUGGGACGGUACUGACGCUAAGACGCGAAAGCGUG